Phyllostomus discolor (pale spear-nosed bat) is the source of this 172-nucleotide long non-coding RNA. RefSeq lists it as uncharacterized. The record is from RefSeq and is a predicted model, not a curated record. The transcript has 3 exons. NCBI's taxonomy places the organism in Eukaryota, Metazoa, Chordata, Mammalia, Chiroptera, Phyllostomidae.
CCAUCAUGUAAUGGGCCCAGAAAAGAAAUAAAGGCCAGUCACAAAAGGGGCAUUUCUCCUCUUGAGAGAAAAGCCAUGCUGUCCCUUUUCCUCCACAGGACUCAGUAGUCCCUGUGCAUUUCUUGUGCCUCAUCCACACUGUGGUGGACCCCAUGAGCCAGGGUCCACAUCA